Long non-coding RNA from Lingula anatina, 569 nucleotides. Lineage: Eukaryota; Metazoa; Brachiopoda; Lingulata; Lingulida; Lingulidae. The record is from RefSeq and is a predicted model, not a curated record.
UUCUAAACUGCUAUGGUAAUUAAUAUGAACAAAAUGAAGAUCCCUUCACUCUGUGUCACAGCCGAGGAAUUUCAUUUCUAGCCGUAUUCGCCACCAUAUCGUCAUCGGAAAUUGAGUUUCACUGUGAUUUUGACACAUCCUGGUGUGGCUUUGAGAACAGCUACCAUGAUCAGUUCAACUGGGUGAGAACAACGGGCGUGACCCCGACCAAUCAGACUGGACCUGAUGCUGACCAUACGUCUGGGAAAGGCAUGUACGCGCACAUAGAAGCCUCGCCUCCACGGGUCACAGGGGACGACGCCAGCCUGGCCAAAACACUGGGGAACUCCACAGAGAAACGCUGCCUCUCCUUCUGGUAUCACAUGUAUGGCCGUACCCUGGGGAGUCUUAACGUGAGGACGACGGCGGGGAGGCUGUUUUGGGGUAAAACAGGUGACCAAGGAAACCUGUGGCACGAAGAAGUUCUAGAUUUGCCAGCAGGGAGCUAUAGCGUCAUCUUCAAGGCAGUGCGUGGGGGCGGCGCUUGGGGAGAUAUCGCCAUAGAUGACGUCACGAUUGUGACAGGCUCU